This 915-nucleotide ribosomal RNA is filed under the name Vibrio sp. Its description in RNAcentral is "bacterial SSU rRNA". It matches the Rfam family "Bacterial small subunit ribosomal RNA", at positions 94 to 1005 of the family's 1533-position model. Lineage: Bacteria; Pseudomonadati; Pseudomonadota; Gammaproteobacteria; Vibrionales; Vibrionaceae. The record is from RNAcentral.
AGCGGCGGACGGGUGAGUAAUGCCUGGGAAAUUGCCCUGAUGUGGGGGAUAACCAUUGGAAACGAUGGCUAAUACCGCAUAAUAGCUUCGGCUCAAAGAGGGGGACCUUCGGGCCUCUCGCGUCAGGAUAUGCCCAGGUGGGAUUAGCUAGUUGGUGAGGUAAUGGCUCACCAAGGCGACGAUCCCUAGCUGGUCUGAGAGGAUGAUCAGCCACACUGGAACUGAGACACGGUCCAGACUCCUACGGGAGGCAGCAGUGGGGAAUAUUGCACAAUGGGCGCAAGCCUGAUGCAGCCAUGCCGCGUGUGUGAAGAAGGCCUUCGGGUUGUAAAGCACUUUCAGUCGUGAGGAAGGUAGUGUAGUUAAUAGCUGCAUUAUUUGACGUUAGCGACAGAAGAAGCACCGGCUAACUCCGUGCCAGCAGCCGCGGUAAUACGGAGGGUGCGAGCGUUAAUCGGAAUUACUGGGCGUAAAGCGCAUGCAGGUGGUUAGUUAAGUCAGAUGUGAAAGCCCGGGGCUCAACCUCGGAACUGCAUUUGAAACUGGCUGACUAGAGUACUGUAGAGGGGGGUAGAAUUUCAGGUGUAGCGGUGAAAUGCGUAGAGAUCUGAAGGAAUACCAGUGGCGAAGGCGGCCCCCUGGACAGAUACUGACACUCAGAUGCGAAAGCGUGGGGAGCAAACAGGAUUAGAUACCCUGGUAGUCCACGCCGUAAACGAUGUCUACUUGGAGGUUGUGGCCUUGAGCCGUGGCUUUCGGAGCUAACGCGUUAAGUAGACCGCCUGGGGAGUACGGUCGCAAGAUUAAAACUCAAAUGAAUUGACGGGGGCCCGCACAAGCGGUGGAGCAUGUGGUUUAAUUCGAUGCAACGCGAAGAACCUUACCUACUCUUGACAUCCCGAGAACUUUGCAGAA